Molecule: ribosomal RNA, 420 nt
Filed under: bacterium
Lineage: Bacteria
Description: partial 16S ribosomal RNA
Rfam family: Bacterial small subunit ribosomal RNA
Source: RNAcentral
UGGGGGAUAUUGCACAAUGGGCGAAAGCCUGAUGCAGCGACGCCGCGUGGGGGAUGAAGGCUUUCGGGUUGUAAACCUCUUUCGCUAUCGAACAAGGCCCGCUUAGGGUGGGUUGAGGGUAGGUGGAGAAGAAGCGCCGGCUAACUACGUGCCAGCAGCCGCGGUAAUACGUAGGGCGCGAGCGUUGUCCGGAAUUAUUGGGCGUAAAGGGCUUGUAGGCGGCUUGUUGCGCCUGCUGUGAAAACGCGGGGCUUAACUUCGCGCGUGCAGUGGGUACGGGCAGGCUUGAGUGUGGUAGGGGUGACUGGAAUUCCAGGUGUAGCGGUGGAAUGCGCAGAUAUCUGGAGGAACACCGAUGGCGAAGGCAGGUCACUGGGCCAUUACUGAAGCUGAGGAGCGAAAGCAUGGGUAGCGAACAGG